AAAGGAGACGGCUAACACAUCAUCUUUGUUAGCUCAUCGUCCACCAUUCUCACGCAGGAGAAGCUUCUACAUCAAUCAGCAUAAAAGAUCUCUAAACAAUUAGAUCAGUAUUUAAACCCCAAAAGUUGUAAACAAGUUUGUUGCAGAUAUUUUUGAGAACUAAAAAUAUAUUUUUCUUGAAGUUAGCUUCCUUCACACGUGCCUCCUCACUUGCACGUGUCUUCUUCUGCCUCUUAUGAACUUAUCAAUACUCCCCCCCCCCCCAUUCAAACAGCUUGGCCACAAGCUGUGGUAGCUAAUGUAGUGAAGAUCGAAACCAAUGAAGAUCCUGACACAAUCGUUACUCCUUUAAGACCAUCGUAGACUCAGAUAGUCUUUGGCCUCUCAACUGUUUUGUACUUUGUAACGCCUCCUUCCCUUCGUUAUAUCUUGUUUGUACUUGAAACGCCAUGCCUUGAGAAAUCUCUG
Arabidopsis thaliana (thale cress) is the source of this 468-nucleotide long non-coding RNA. RefSeq annotates it as other RNA. Lineage: Eukaryota; Viridiplantae; Streptophyta; Magnoliopsida; Brassicales; Brassicaceae. The record is from RefSeq. The transcript has a single exon.